Molecule: ribosomal RNA, 1618 nt
Filed under: Salmonella enterica subsp. enterica serovar Rubislaw
Lineage: Bacteria; Pseudomonadati; Pseudomonadota; Gammaproteobacteria; Enterobacterales; Enterobacteriaceae
Also listed under: 1 other name
Description: bacterial LSU rRNA
Rfam family: Bacterial large subunit ribosomal RNA
Source: RNAcentral
GUUGGGUAGGGGAGCGUUCUGUAAGCCUGCGAAGGUGGCCUGUGAGGGUUGCUGGAGGUAUCAGAAGUGCGAAUGCUGACAUAAGUAACGAUAAAGCGGGUGAAAAGCCCGCUCGCCGGAAGACCAAGGGUUCCUGUCCAACGUUAAUCGGGGCAGGGUGAGUCGACCCCUAAGGCGAGGCCGAAAGGCGUAGUCGAUGGGAAACGGGUUAAUAUUCCCGUACUUGGUGUUACUGCGAAGGGGGGACGGAGAAGGCUAUGUUGGCCGGGCGACGGUUGUCCCGGUUUAAGCGUGUAGGUGUGUGUUCCAGGUAAAUCCGGUUCACUUUAACACUGAGGCGUGACGACGAGGCACUACGGUGCUGAAGCAACAAAUGCCCUGCUUCCAGGAAAAGCCUCUAAGCAUCAGGUAACAUCAAAUCGUACCCCAAACCGACACAGGUGGUCAGGUAGAGAAUACCAAGGCGCUUGAGAGAACUCGGGUGAAGGAACUAGGCAAAAUGGUGCCGUAACUUCGGGAGAAGGCACGCUGACACGUAGGUGAAGUGAUUUACUCACGGAGCUGAAGUCAGUCGAAGAUACCAGCUGGCUGCAACUGUUUAUUAAAAACACAGCACUGUGCAAACACGAAAGUGGACGUAUACGGUGUGACGCCUGCCCGGUGCCGGAAGGUUAAUUGAUGGGGUCAGCGCAAGCGAAGCUCCUGAUCGAAGCCCCGGUAAACGGCGGCCGUAACUAUAACGGUCCUAAGGUAGCGAAAUUCCUUGUCGGGUAAGUUCCGACCUGCACGAAUGGCGUAAUGAUGGCCAGGCUGUCUCCACCCGAGACUCAGUGAAAUUGAACUCGCUGUGAAGAUGCAGUGUACCCGCGGCAAGACGGAAAGACCCCGUGAACCUUUACUAUAGCUUGACACUGAACAUUGAGCCUUGAUGUGUAGGAUAGGUGGGAGGCUUUGAAGUGUGGACGCCAGUCUGCAUGGAGCCGACCUUGAAAUACCACCCUUUAAUGUUUGAUGUUCUAACGUGGACCCGUGAUCCGGGUUGCGGACAGUGUCUGGUGGGUAGUUUGACUGGGGCGGUCUCCUCCUAAAGAGUAACGGAGGAGCACGAAGGUUGGCUAAUCCUGGUCGGACAUCAGGAGGUUAGUGCAAUGGCAUAAGCCAGCUUGACUGCGAGCGUGACGGCGCGAGCAGGUGCGAAAGCAGGUCAUAGUGAUCCGGUGGUUCUGAAUGGAAGGGCCAUCGCUCAACGGAUAAAAGGUACUCCGGGGAUAACAGGCUGAUACCGCCCAAGAGUUCAUAUCGACGGCGGUGUUUGGCACCUCGAUGUCGGCUCAUCACAUCCUGGGGCUGAAGUAGGUCCCAAGGGUAUGGCUGUUCGCCAUUUAAAGUGGUACGCGAGCUGGGUUUAGAACGUCGUGAGACAGUUCGGUCCCUAUCUGCCGUGGGCGCUGGAGAACUGAGGGGGGCUGCUCCUAGUACGAGAGGACCGGAGUGGACGCAUCACUGGUGUUCGGGUUGUCAUGCCAAUGGCACUGCCCGGUAGCUAAAUGCGGAAGAGAUAAGUGCUGAAAGCAUCUAAGCACGAAACUUGCCCCGAGAUGAGUUCUCCCUGAGACUU